AGUGAACGCUGGCGGUAGGCCUAACACAUGCAAGUCGAACGGCAGCACAGUAAGAGCUUGCUCUUACGGGUGGCGAGUGGCGGACGGGUGAGGAAUACAUCGGAAUCUACUUUUUCGUGGGGGAUAACGUAGGGAAACUUACGCUAAUACCGCAUACGACCUACGGGUGAAAGCAGGGGAUCUUCGGACCUUGCGCGAUUGAAUGAGCCGAUGUCGGAUUAGCUAGUUGGCGGGGUAAAGGCCCACCAAGGCGACGAUCCGUAGCUGGUCUGAGAGGAUGAUCAGCCAUACUGGAACUGAGACACGGUCCAGACUCCUACGGGAGGCAGCAGUGGGGAAUAUUGGACAAUGGGCGCAAGCCUGAUCCAGCCAUACCGCGUGGGUGAAGAAGGCCUUCGGGUUGUAAAGCCCUUUUGUUGGGAAAGAAAAGCAGCAGGUUAAUACCCCGCUGUUCUGACGGUACCCAAAGAAUAAGCACCGGCCAACUUCGUG
This 492-nucleotide ribosomal RNA is filed under the name uncultured bacterium. RNAcentral describes it as "partial 16S ribosomal RNA". It matches the Rfam family "Bacterial small subunit ribosomal RNA", at positions 29 to 507 of the family's 1533-position model. The record is from RNAcentral.